AAUGGGCGCAAGCCUGACGGAGCAAUACCGCGUGAGGGAGGAAGGCUCUUGGGUCGUAAACCUCUUUUAUCAGGGAAGAACACAAUGACGGUACCUGAUGAAUCAGCAUCGGCUAACUCUGUGCCAGCAGCCGCGGUAAUACAGAGGAUGCAAGCGUUAUCCGGAAUUAUUGGGCGUAAAGCGUCCGCAGGUGGUUUUGGUAGUCUGCUGUCAAAGCGCGAGGCUCAACUUCGUAUCGGCGGUGGAAACUCCAAGACUAGAGUUUGGUAGGGGUCACGGGAAUUCCCAGUGUAGCGGUGAAAUGCGUAGAUAUUGGGAAGAACACCAGCGGCGAAGGCGCGUGACUGGGCCUGAACUGACACUCAUGGACGAAAGCUAGGGGAGCGAAAGGGAUUAGAUACCCC
This 404-nucleotide ribosomal RNA is filed under the name uncultured cyanobacterium. RNAcentral's name for it is "bacterial SSU rRNA". It matches the Rfam family "Bacterial small subunit ribosomal RNA", at positions 370 to 788 of the family's 1533-position model. The record is from RNAcentral. Lineage: Bacteria; Bacillati; Cyanobacteriota.